RNAcentral lists this ribosomal RNA (443 nucleotides) under uncultured bacterium. RNAcentral describes it as "partial 16S ribosomal RNA". It matches the Rfam family "Bacterial small subunit ribosomal RNA", at positions 338 to 795 of the family's 1533-position model. The record is from RNAcentral.
CCUACGGGUGGCAGCAGUGGGGAAUAUUGCACAAUGGGCGCAAGCCUGAUGCAGCAACGCCGCGUGCAGGAAGAAGGGUUUCGGCUCGUAAACUUCUAUUAACUGGGACGAAAGAAAUGACGGUACCUGAAUAAGAAGCCCCGGCUAACUACGUACCAGCAGCCGCGGUAAUACGUAGGGGGCAAGCGUUAUCCGGAAUUACUGGGUGUAAAGGGUGAGUAGGCGGCAUGGUAAGCCAGAUGUGAAAGCCUUGGGCUUAACCCGAGGAUUGCAUUUGGAACUAUCAAGCUGGAGUGCAGGAGGGGCAGGCGGAAUUCCUGGUGUAGCGGUGAAAUGCGUAGAUAUCAGGAGGAACACCGGUGGCGAAGGCGGCCUGCUGGACUGUAACUGACACUGAGGCUCGAAAGCGUGGGGAGCAAACAGGAUUAGAUACCCUUGUAGUC